Molecule: long non-coding RNA, 1076 nt
Filed under: Sus scrofa (pig)
Lineage: Eukaryota; Metazoa; Chordata; Mammalia; Artiodactyla; Suidae
Description: lncRNA (ENSSSCG00070021210.1)
Source: RNAcentral
AUGGGGGCGUUCCCUGGGGCAGAAAACCACCCUCACUCACUUCCCAGACUCGCCUUCUGGAUGACGGAGGCUCCCUGGCUGUUUCACGGGGGAGCCGCAGGCUCAGGGGCCGCUCCUGUGUUGCCAGCAGGAAUCAUGGUCUCUUCAAGGUCAGACACCCUCUCCCACCAUGUCCCCAAGGUGCUUGGCCUGGGACAGCCCUGCGCGGAAGGUAGAGAAGGGGGAGUGAUGGCGUUGGAAUCCACUCCACGUCCUGCUGUGUGACUUCUUUAGGCCUCAGGGGCCUCAGCCAGGAAACGGGACCAUGAAGAGCCUUCUCACGGGGCUGUUGUGCAGGUACAGGGGCUCACGGGCGAGAAGCGGGCACUGCACCGAGGGUUCAGGACCCUGAACGGGCUCCAUAAGCGAGGGCGCCACCUCCCCGGACGGCUAUGCCUGACCAUCCCCGUUGGAAGCAGGACUUUCAUUUUCUUCUUACCCACACCACCCCGUUCUUUCUCUUCACAAGCACUCAGCCCAGUUUGUAAUUAGAUGAGUUUGUUUACUUGUCCUUGAGAGCAGGGACCGUCUCGUUUCCCACUUCUCCAUCCCGAGCACCAAGAGCAGGAGCACAGAAAACACUGAACGGACCUGCCCCGUCCUCUGCAGGCGGAGCGGGACUAGGGUUUUCUGCCGUUUCUCAGCGGACUUGGCUUUCAGAGCCCUGGAGAGUCCUCGCCUCCACCCCCCAGAGAUGACCCUGCCGCUGGCGCUGGCGUAACUGGGAAGGGCUGGAUACUCUCUGCAGACACAGAGGAAGCUGGGGCAGAACGACUGGGGGGGGGGCAAGGCUGGGUCUCACACUCACCUUGCUGGCCACGGCCCUUGAUGGAUGAUCGGGUCCUUCUGGAACUGCUUUUGCCCUUCCUGCUGCCUGCAGCUGCUUGGCCUGCAGCCCCCGCAGCCACAUUACGUCUCCCCCAGAGCCCGGCUUUGGCCCUGCUCUCACCUGAGGCUGGGCCUGACUUUCCGAGCCGCCUUCCCCUCCUGCCCCACCUCCUUCCAGGUCUCGCCUGCCUCCUGCCCUCAGCUGAGAC